Molecule: long non-coding RNA, 177 nt
Filed under: Junco hyemalis (dark-eyed junco)
Lineage: Eukaryota; Metazoa; Chordata; Aves; Passeriformes; Passerellidae
Description: lncRNA (ENSJHYG00000010305.1)
Source: RNAcentral
UGCAUCACUGUUCUUCCAAAUAUAUUUCAUGCUUAUACACAUAUCUACUUCUGCUUGGAUGUUUUCAUUUGAAUUUUCCUUUUUUUCAUUGUAGUUUUGGGCAUUGUUCCACGAAGACACUUCAGCAAAUGCCUAAUUUUCAUCAUGCUUGGUUGUCACUCUAGAAAUCAUCUGCUG